ACGGCAGCACGGAGCUUGCUCUGGUGGCGAGUGGCGAACGGGUGAGUAAUAUAUCGGAACGUACCCUGGAGUGGGGGAUAACGUAGCGAAAGUUACGCUAAUACCGCAUACGAUCUAAGGAUGAAAGUGGGGGAUCGCAAGACCUCAUGCUCGUGGAGCGGCCGAUAUCUGAUUAGCUAGUUGGUGGGGUAAAGGCCUACCAAGGCAUCGAUCAGUAGCUGGUCUGAGAGGACGACCAGCCACACUGGAACUGAGACACGGUCCAGACUCCUACGGGAGGCAGCAGUGGGGAAUUUUGGACAAUGGGCGAAAGCCUGAUCCAGCAAUGCCGCGUGAGUGAAGAAGGCCUUCGGGUUGUAAGGCUCUUUUGUCAGGGAAGAAACGGUGGGCUCUAAUACAGCCUGCUAAUGACGGUACCUGAAGAAUAAGCACCGGCUAACUACGUGCCAGCAGCCGCGGUAAU
RNAcentral lists this ribosomal RNA (463 nucleotides) under uncultured bacterium. RNAcentral describes it as "bacterial SSU rRNA". It matches the Rfam family "Bacterial small subunit ribosomal RNA", at positions 66 to 524 of the family's 1533-position model. The record is from RNAcentral.